UGGGGAAUAUUGGUCAAUGGGCGAGAGCCUGAACCAGCCAAGUCGCGUGAGGGAAGACGGUACUAAGUAUUGUAAACCUCUUUUGUCAGGGAACAACACCUGCAUGUAUGCAGCAAUGAGUGUACCUGAAGAAAAAGCAUCGGCUAACUCCGUGCCAGCAGCCGCGGUAAUACGGAGGAUGCGAGCGUUAUCCGGAUUUAUUGGGUUUAAAGGGUGCGUAGGCGGUCUGGUAAGUCAGCGGUUAAAUGUCGGGGCUCAACCCCGGCCUGCCGUUGAAACUGUCGGACUAGAGUUUGAGAGAAGUAUGCGGAAUGCGUAGUGUAGCGGUGAAAUGCAUAGAUAUUACGCAGAACUCCGAUUGCGAAGGCAGCAUACCGGCUCCACACUGACGCUGAUGCACGAAAGCGUGGGUAUCGAACAGG
This 422-nucleotide ribosomal RNA is filed under the name uncultured prokaryote. RNAcentral describes it as "bacterial SSU rRNA". It matches the Rfam family "Bacterial small subunit ribosomal RNA", at positions 355 to 776 of the family's 1533-position model. The record is from RNAcentral. RNAcentral also lists the same sequence under 1 other name.